Molecule: transfer RNA, 71 nt
Filed under: Camelus bactrianus (Bactrian camel)
Lineage: Eukaryota; Metazoa; Chordata; Mammalia; Artiodactyla; Camelidae
Also listed under: 2 other names
Rfam family: tRNA
About the family: Transfer RNA (tRNA) molecules are approximately 80 nucleotides in length. Their secondary structure includes four short double-helical elements and three loops (D, anti-codon, and T loops).
Source: Rfam by way of RNAcentral
GGGUGUAUAGCUCAGGGGUAGAGCACAUGCUUAGCAGCAAGGGGUCCUAGGUUCAAUCCCCAGUACCUCCA